AUGUCUUCCCAACAUCUAGCUGUACCGGCCGAGUUGUCAACUAGGAAGUCUGCAUCUGCAGUUCAUUUGGAACCACUACAAGCACAUCACUCCUGGGUGUUGUUCUGCAAAGGGGCAUUUUGGAAUGCUGAUGACAAAAAAUGCCCAUUGGAGCUGCAGGAAUUGGCUCGGAAGUUCAUAGCGAAGUGUCAAGGCUUGCCUAUUGCUACUGCAUGCAUUGGUCGCCUACUCUCAUGCAAACCCCAAAAUUCCGCCAAAUGGGAGGAUGUGUAUAGGUGUUUGGAUUCGCAGUUUGCGAAAGAUGUGAUCCCUCAUGCUCAUUUGAUCCUAAAGGUCAGCUUGGAGGACCUUCAGUAUGAUUUGAAGAAUUGUUUCCUACACUGUGCAUUGUCCCCAGAAGAUUAUGUUUUAAAGAGGAGGAAGACAAUGAGGCAGUGGAUCACGGCAGGGUUUAUCACAGAAAAAGAUGAGAGCAAAACAUUGGAGGAAGUGGCAGAGGGAUACUUGGUUGAGCUUGUGAACCGAAGUCUAUCGCUUUUUUGGGCGGUCUCAUUUGUCUAUGAAUGUUGGUUUCUCAGUGAUGCUGAUUGA
This 591-nucleotide ribosomal RNA is filed under the name Triticum aestivum (bread wheat). RNAcentral describes it as "partial small subunit ribosomal RNA". The record is from RNAcentral. Lineage: Eukaryota; Viridiplantae; Streptophyta; Magnoliopsida; Poales; Poaceae.